This 2069-nucleotide ribosomal RNA is filed under the name Salmonella enterica subsp. enterica serovar Infantis. RNAcentral describes it as "partial 23S ribosomal RNA". It matches the Rfam family "Bacterial large subunit ribosomal RNA", at positions 1 to 2091 of the family's 2925-position model. Lineage: Bacteria; Pseudomonadati; Pseudomonadota; Gammaproteobacteria; Enterobacterales; Enterobacteriaceae. The record is from RNAcentral.
GGUUAAGCGACUAAGCGUACACGGUGGAUGCCCUGGCAGUCAGAGGCGAUGAAGGACGUGCUAAUCUGCGAUAAGCGCCGGUAAGGUGAUAUGAACCGUUAUAACCGGCGAUUUCCGAAUGGGGAAACCCAGUGUGACUCGUCACACUAUCAUUAACUGAAUCCAUAGGUUAAUGAGGCGAACCGGGGGAACUGAAACAUCUAAGUACCCCGAGGAAAAGAAAUCAACCGAGAUUCCCCCAGUAGCGGCGAGCGAACGGGGAGGAGCCCAGAGCCUGAAUCAGCAUGUGUGUUAGUGGAAGCGUCUGGAAAGGCGCGCGAUACAGGGUGACAGCCCCGUACACAAAAGCGCAUGUGCUGUGAGCUCGAUGAGUAGGGCGGGACACGUGGUAUCCUGUCUGAAUAUGGGGGGACCAUCCUCCAAGGCUAAAUACUCCUGACUGACCGAUAGUGAACCAGUACCGUGAGGGAAAGGCGAAAAGAACCCCGGCGAGGGGAGUGAAAAAGAACCUGAAACCGUGUACGUACAAGCAGUGGGAGCACAGGUUUACCUGUGUGACUGCGUACCUUUUGUAUAAUGGGUCAGCGACUUAUAUUCUGUAGCAAGGUUAACCGUAUAGGGGAGCCGGAGGGAAACCGAGUCUUAAUUGGGCGUUAAGUUGCAGGGUAUAGACCCGAAACCCGGUGAUCUAGCCAUGGGCAGGUUGAAGGUUGGGUAACACUAACUGGAGGACCGAACCGACUAAUGUUGAAAAAUUAGCGGAUGACCUGUGGCUGGGGGUGAAAGGCCAAUCAAACCGGGAGAUAGCUGGUUCUCCCCGAAAGCUAUUUAGGUAGCGCCUCGUGAAUUCAUCUCCGGGGGUAGAGCACUGUUUCGGCUAGGGGGCCAUCCCGGCUUACCAACCCGAUGCAAACUGCGAAUACCGGAGAAUGUUAUCACGGGAGACACACGGCGGGUGCUAACGUCCGUCGUGAAGAGGGAAACAACCCAGACCGCCAGCUAAGGUCCCAAAGUCAUGGUUAAGUGGGAAACGAUGUGGGAAGGCCCAGACAGCCAGGAUGUUGGCUUAGAAGCAGCCAUCAUUUAAAGAAAGCGUAAUAGCUCACUGGUCGAGUCGGCCUGCGCGGAAGAUGUAACGGGGCUAAACCAUGCACCGAAGCUGCGGCAGCGACACUCAGGUGUUGUUGGGUAGGGGAGCGUUCUGUAAGCCUGCGAAGGUGGCCUGUGAGGGUUGCUGGAGGUAUCAGAAGUGCGAAUGCUGACAUAAGUAACGAUAAAGCGGGUGAAAAGCCCGCUCGCCGGAAGACCAAGGGUUCCUGUCCAACGUUAAUCGGGGCAGGGUGAGUCGACCCCUAAGGCGAGGCCGAAAGGCGUAGUCGAUGGGAAACGGGUUAAUAUUCCCGUACUUGGUGUUACUGCGAAGGGGGGACGGAGAAGGCUAUGUUGGCCGGGCGACGGUUGUCCCGGUUUAAGCGUGUAGGUGUGUGUUCCAGGUAAAUCCGGUUCACUUUAACACUGAGGCGUGAUGACGAGGCACUACGGUGCUGAAGCAACAAAUGCCCUGCUUCCAGGAAAAGCCUCUAAGCAUCAGGUAACAUCAAAUCGUACCCCAAACCGACACAGGUGGUCAGGUAGAGAAUACCAAGGCGCUUGAGAGAACUCGGGUGAAGGAACUAGGCAAAAUGGUGCCGUAACUUCGGGAGAAGGCACGCUGACAUGUAGGUGAAGUGAUUUACUCAUGGAGCUGAAGUCAGUCGAAGAUACCAGCUGGCUGCAACUGUUUAUUAAAAACACAGCACUGUGCAAACACGAAAGUGGACGUAUACGGUGUGACGCCUGCCCGGUGCCGGAAGGUUAAUUGAUGGGGUCAGCGCAAGCGAAGCUCCUGAUCGAAGCCCCGGUAAACGGCGGCCGUAACUAUAACGGUCCUAAGGUAGCGAAAUUCCUUGUCGGGUAAGUUCCGACCUGCACGAAUGGCGUAAUGAUGGCCAGGCUGUCUCCACCCGAGACUCAGUGAAAUUGAACUCGCUGUGAAGAUGCAGUGUACCCGCGGCAAGACGGAAAGACCC